UAGAGUUGUAAAACUCCCAAAACCCAUGUGAACUUACCAUUUGUUGCCUCGGCAGAGCCUACCCGGUAACUGGUCGGAGAAGCUACCCUGUAGCUACCCUGUAACGGCCUACCCUGUAACGUCCUGCCGGUGGACUUUUAAACUCUUGUUAUUUUAUAGUAAUCUGAGCGUCUUAUUUUAAUAAGUCA
This 188-nucleotide unclassified non-coding RNA is filed under the name uncultured Discosia. RNAcentral's name for it is "sequence contains ITS1". The record is from RNAcentral. Lineage: Eukaryota; Fungi; Ascomycota; Sordariomycetes; Amphisphaeriales; Amphisphaeriaceae.